UUUUUUUUUUUUUUUCACUAUUGUAUCUCCGGCAUCUGGAAUUUAUUGAAUGAACCAGUAAUUAAAGUACAUUAAAUACAACUUCCAUAAAUAUAAUCUAUGAUAGCUUCAAAGGAUUUCUUAUGGAUCUGUAGCUUUCAAAAAUUCCAGCAAGGAAUGGAAAGCAGAGAGAAUGGUAGUCAAACAAGAACAUAUGGAAUUAGUUCAUUCGUCCUUUCUUAAAAAAGUCAAAAACUCUGAGUUAAUAGAGCUUAAACCAAGUUUAGAGGGAGAAAACUAAAGUAAACAGAAAAGGAAAGCAUGGGAUUAAUAAGUUUAAUUAUAAAUAUAAUGUCUUAUCUAAACCCUCUUGAAAAAAUAAUGAAUUAAACAGUGAGAAGAAACUGAAUAUUACUAAAAAUAACAGUAAUACUGAUAGUAAGAAGUAGCUUAAAUGGAUAAUAUAAUUUAUAUAAUUUAAGGAGUUCCUGUUGUGGCUCAGCAGUUAAUGAAUCCGACUAGGAACCACGAGGUUGCAGGUUCAAUCCCUGGCCUCACUCAGUGGGUUAAGGAUCCAGCGUUGCCAUGAGCUGUGGUAUAGGUCGCAGACAAGGCUCGGAUUCCACAUUGCUGUGGCUCUGCUGUAGGCUGGUGGCUACGGCUCUGAUUAGACUCCUAGCCUGGGAAUCUCCAUUUGCCACAGGUGCGGCCCUAGAAAAAGACAAAAAAAAAAAAAAAAAAAAAAUUGUGUAAUUUAAAUGUAAAAAUAUCUUGACAUUCAACUUUACAAAACUGAGAGACCAAAUGAAUAAAUAAAUCCGAGGAACAGAUCCUGAGCAAAAUCCAUCAUGCAGCGUUAGAGGUUAGAACAUCAUUACAAGGGUAUUAUGGGCUUGCUCUAACACUCUCAUAAGCAACCUAUAAACUUCUGGAUACAGGUAUUAUAUAUAAAUAGAAUUUAUUCUAUUAAAUACAAUUAUUUAACUGAAAUUUGUCAGGGUUUAAGCUUUUUAUUUAAACUGUUUAAUCAUGAGGGAGAAAAAUGAUUUAAUACAAAUUCAAAAAUGAACUUUUACAUAAGCAAGAAACUCAGGAAGCUUACUUUACAUCAAUGUGUAAAAUCCUUUGUUAGUCUGCUUUAAAAUGCUUUUUUAAAAAUAAAGUCAUAUUCUCUUGGCCUGAUUUUAUAAAUAAACUCUUUCAGAAAGCGUUUCUCUUUUUCAACCCAACUUGUAGAAGAUGUAGUAUUUGCCAUAAGAAAUUGGCUAGCGUGUUGCUAUGGGAACAAUGUUUUAAUAUAAUUUUAAAACACUAGUAGCUUUAAAGAACAAUGAGGUAAAGGAAAGAGACGUGGGAAAUGAUAAUCCUAGUAUUUCACAAUACAACCAUUAUAAUCAUGCUGCAACAGAGCUUCUUAUACUUUUUUCAUUCUAUACUUAAGAGAAAGUAUUAGGACAUACUUUAGGCACCAACAAGAGAGUAUUAGCAAAGGCAGAUUAAAACCAGCUCUUUUGAGGAAGAAUAAAGAGACGUAAUGAGGUCCUUCUCCCAAGAGUUAAAGAAAGGAAAGGAUUCUCAUGUGAGGUAAAACUAUUAAAAGACCAUCCCCACUCAUACCCUGGAAAGCCCUCAGAAUCAAAGCAUAGGUGUUCCUUCAACUCAAGCCUGGAGAAAAUGGGGCAAAAGGAAUCAAUUAAAUAAUAAUUGAUUGGAGGUAAGGCCUUAAAAUGUUCCAUACCUAAUUACAGAUGCCUAAGUGGGUUUUUUCCCCCCUUAAAUCUUACCUUAAUAGGGUAAUUGGAGAAAAAUAUUUUAAACAAGUGGCUUAAGUUUAUCUGUAGUAAUAAACAACUAUAUAUAAAAAUAUAUAUAUAUUUUUUUUUGUCUUUUUAGGGCCGCACUCAAGGCAUGUGGAGGUUGCCAGCCUAGGGGUCUAAUGGGAGCUGUAGCUGCCGGCCACAGCCACAGCAAUGCAGGAUCCGAGCUGCGUCUGCAACCUACACCACAGCUCACGGCAACGCUGGAUCCUUAACCCACGGAGCAAGGCCAGUAGUUACAGCUCCAAUUUGACCCCUAGCCUGGGAACCUCCACAUGCUGUGGAUGCAGCCCUAAAAAGACAAAAAUAAAACAAAACUCAUCCUUUUUUACCAUUAAUUGAAUUUGCCUCCCUCAAAUCAUUGCCUAUAAGACUAAAUAAAUAUUUGUUGAUCAUUUUAAAUGUCUGCUAUAAGCAGAAAGAAAAAAAAAAAGAGUAAGGGCAAAAAAAUAUUUAAUCAUGAGUUCCCAACGUGGCUCAGAAGUAACAAACCUGCCUAGUAUCCAUGAGGUCUCAAGUUCGCUCCCUGGCCUCGUUCAGUGGAUUAAGGAUCCAGUGUUGUCUUGAGCUGUGGUGUAGGUCAUAGAUGUGGGCCAGAUCCUGUGUUGCUGAGGCUGUGGUGUAGGCCAGCAGUUGCAGCUCCAAUUUGACCCCUAGCCUGGGAACUUCCACAUGCCAUGGUUGUGAGGAAGAAAGGAAGGAUGGAUGGAAGGAAGGAAAGACGGAAGGAAGGAAGUUUCUGAGCUUCAUCCACGUUACUAUGUGUAUCAGUUUACUUUUUUUUUUUUUUUUUUUUGUCUUUUUUGCCAUUUCUUG
RNAcentral lists this long non-coding RNA (2612 nucleotides) under Sus scrofa (pig). RNAcentral describes it as "lncRNA (ENSSSCG00060035197.1)". The record is from RNAcentral. Lineage: Eukaryota; Metazoa; Chordata; Mammalia; Artiodactyla; Suidae.